Molecule: transfer RNA, 85 nt
Filed under: Felis catus (domestic cat)
Lineage: Eukaryota; Metazoa; Chordata; Mammalia; Carnivora; Felidae
Rfam family: tRNA
About the family: Transfer RNA (tRNA) molecules are approximately 80 nucleotides in length.
Source: Rfam by way of RNAcentral
GUCUGGGUGGCUGAGUUGGUUGAGCGUCUGACUUUGGCUCAGGUCAUGAUCUCAUGGCUCGUGGGUUCGAGCCCCACAUCGGUCU